CGCAGCCGCGGUAAUUCCAGCUCCAAUAGCGUAUAUUAAAGUUGUUGCAGUUAAAAAGCUCGUAGUUGAAUUUCGGGGUUAGUAGGUUGGUCAUGCCUCUGGUAUGUACUGGUCUCACUGAUUCCUCCUUCCUGAUGAGCCGUAAUGCCAUUAAUUUGGUGUUGCGGGGAAUUUGGACUGUUACUUUGAAAAAUUAGAGUGUUUAAAGCAAGCUAACGCUUGAAUACAUUAGCAUGGAAUAAUGAAAUAGGACGUUCGAUCCUAUUUUGUUGGUUUCUAGGAUUGACGUAAUGAUUAAUAGGGAUAGUUGGGGGCAUUAGUAUUCAAUUGUCAGAGGUGAAAUUCUUGGAUUUAUUGAAGACUAACUACUGCGAAAGCAUUUGCCAAGGAUGUUUUCAUUAAUCAAGAACGAAAGUUAGGGGAUCGAAGACGAUCAGAUACCGUCGUAGUCUUAACCAUAAACUAUGCCGACUAGGGAUCGGAUGAUGUUAAUUUUUAAUGACUCAUUCGGCGCCUUAAC
Molecule: unclassified non-coding RNA, 520 nt
Filed under: uncultured Glomus
Lineage: Eukaryota; Fungi; Glomeromycota; Glomeromycetes; Glomerales; Glomeraceae
Description: SSU rRNA
Rfam family: Eukaryotic small subunit ribosomal RNA
Source: RNAcentral